Molecule: long non-coding RNA, 239 nt
Filed under: Elaeis guineensis (African oil palm)
Lineage: Eukaryota; Viridiplantae; Streptophyta; Magnoliopsida; Arecales; Arecaceae
Description: long non-coding RNA (EGUI_LNC045396)
Source: RNAcentral
UCAUUAAAAAUAGAAGUACCUACUCCUCAAUGUCUGUUUGAAUUCAUAAAUGCAUUUACCCUCCCACCAGAGACAAAUUCUCUAGAUGGUAUGUGGCAAUAGCAAAAAUCUAGAUUGACAUCCCUGUUAGCAACUUGUUGGGUCAUACCCAUAGGUGCUUCAACCAUAGUCCAUACUUAGUUAAUGUUCAGGGUGUUCAUUUCAGAUAUUAUGGUUUCAAGCUAAUUGUUAGUCUCUAC